UAAUACGUAGGGGGCGAGCGUUGUCCGAAGUUACUGGGCGUAAAGCGCGCGUAGGCGGUCUAUUAAGUCUGAGGUGAAAGGUUCAACGCUCAACGUGAACAGUGCCUUGGAUACUGGUAGACUUGAGUGUGGCAGAGGAGUAUGGAAUUCCUGGUGUAGCGGUGAAAUGCGUAGAUAUCAGGAGGAAUACCGAUGGCGAAGGCAGUACUCUGGGCUAACACUGACGCUGAGGUGCGAAAGCGUGGGGAGCAAACGGGAUUAGAUACCCCGGUAGUCCACGCCGUAAACGAUGAGUGCUAGGUGUAGGAGGUAUCGACCCCUCCUGUGCCGUCGCUAACGCAUUAAGCACUCCGCCUGGGGAGUACGGCCGCAAGGUUG
RNAcentral lists this ribosomal RNA (378 nucleotides) under uncultured bacterium. RNAcentral's name for it is "bacterial SSU rRNA". It matches the Rfam family "Bacterial small subunit ribosomal RNA", at positions 521 to 896 of the family's 1533-position model. The record is from RNAcentral.